RNAcentral lists this ribosomal RNA (144 nucleotides) under Vibrio parahaemolyticus. RNAcentral's name for it is "partial 23S ribosomal RNA". The stretch from base 1 to 126 matches the Rfam family "Bacterial large subunit ribosomal RNA", at positions 2805 to 2925 of the family's 2925-position model. Lineage: Bacteria; Pseudomonadati; Pseudomonadota; Gammaproteobacteria; Vibrionales; Vibrionaceae. The record is from RNAcentral.
UGAGUCUUCCCUGAUACUUUAAGUAUCCUAAAGGGUUGUCGGAGACUACGACGUUGAUAGGUCAGGUGUGUAAGUGCUGUGAGGCAUUGAGCUAACUGAUACUAAUUGCCCGUGAGGCUUAACCAUACAACACCCAAGGGGUUU